UUAAGUUAUUAAGGGCGCACGGUGGAUGCCUUGGCACUAGAAGCCGAUGAAGGACGUUACUAACGACGAUAUGCUUUGGGGAGCUGUAAGUAAGCUUUGAUCCAGAGAUUUCCGAAUGGGGAAACCCAGCAUGAGUUAUGUCAUGUUAUCGAUAUGUGAAUACAUAGCAUAUCAGAAGGCACACCCGGAGAACUGAAACAUCUUAGUACCCGGAGGAAGAGAAAGAAAAUUCGAUCCCCUUAGUAGCGGCGAGCGAAACGGGAAGAGCCCAAACCAACAAGCUUGCUUGUUGGGGUUGUAGGACACUCUAUACGGAGUUACAAAGGACGACAUUAGACGAAUCAUCUGGAAAGAUGAAUCAAAGAAGGUAAUAAUCCUGUAGUCGAAAAUGUUGUCUCUCUUGAGUGGAUCCUGAGUACGACGGAGCACGUGAAAUUCCGUCGGAAUCUGGGAGGACCAUCUCCUAAGGCUAAAUACUCUCUAGUGACCGAUAGUGAACCAGUACCGUGAGGGAAAGGUGAAAAGCACCCCGGAAGGGGAGUGAAAUAGAACCUGAAACCGUGUGCUUACAAGUAGUCAGAGCCCGUUAAUGGGUGAUGGCGUGCCUUUUGUAGAAUGAACCGGCGAGUUACGAUUUGAUGCAAGGUUAAGCAGUAAAUGUGGAGCCGUAGCGAAAGCGAGUCUGAAUAGGGCGUUUAGUAUUUGGUCGUAGACCCGAAACCAGGUGAUCUACCCUUGGUCAGGUUGAAGUUCAGGUAACACUGAAUGGAGGACCGAACCGACUUACGUUGAAAAGUGAGCGGAUGAACUGAGGGUAGCGGAGAAAUUCCAAUCGAACCUGGAGAUAGCUGGUUCUCUCCGAAAUAGCUUUAGGGCUAGCCUCAAGUGAUGAUUAUUGGAGGUAGAGCACUGUUUGGACGAGGGGCCCCUCUCGGGUUACCGAAUUCAGACAAACUCCGAAUGCCAAUUAAUUUAACUUGGGAGUCAGAACAUGGGUGAUAAGGUCCGUGUUCGAAAGGGAAACAGCCCAGACCACCAGCUAAGGUCCCAAAAUAUAUGUUAAGUGGAAAAGGAUGUGGCGUUGCCCAGACAACUAGGAUGUUGGCUUAGAAGCAGCCAUCAUUUAAAGAGUGCGUAAUAGCUCACUAGUCGAGUGACACUGCGCCGAAAAUGUACCGGGGCUAAACAUAUUACCGAAGCUGUGGAUUGUCCUUUGGACAAUGGUAGGAGAGCGUUCUAAGGGCGUUGAAGCAUGAUCGUAAGAACAUGUGGAGCGCUUAGAAGUGAGAAUGCCGGUGUGAGUAGCGAAAGACGGGUGAGAAUCCCGUCCACCGAUUGACUAAGGUUUCCAGAGGAAGGCUCGUCCGCUCUGGGUUAGUCGGGUCCUAAGCUGAGGCCGACAGGCGUAGGCGAUGGAUAACAGGUUGAUAUUCCUGUACCACCUAUAAUCGUUUUAAUCGAUGGGGGGACGCAGUAGGAUAGGCGAAGCGUGCGAUUGGAUUGCACGUCUAAGCAGUAAGGCUGAGUAUUAGGCAAAUCCGGUACUCGUUAAGGCUGAGCUGUGAUGGGGAGAAGACAUUGUGUCUUCGAGUCGUUGAUUUCACACUGCCGAGAAAAGCCUCUAGAUAGAAAAUAGGUGCCCGUACCGCAAACCGACACAGGUAGUCAAGAUGAGAAUUCUAAGGUGAGCGAGCGAACUCUCGUUAAGGAACUCGGCAAAAUGACCCCGUAACUUCGGGAGAAGGGGUGCUCUUUAGGGUUAACGCCCAGAAGAGCCGCAGUGAAUAGGCCCAAGCGACUGUUUAUCAAAAACACAGGUCUCUGCUAAACCGUAAGGUGAUGUAUAGGGGCUGACGCCUGCCCGGUGCUGGAAGGUUAAGAGGAGUGGUUAGCUUCUGCGAAGCUACGAAUCGAAGCCCCAGUAAACGGCGGCCGUAACUAUAACGGUCCUAAGGUAGCGAAAUUCCUUGUCGGGUAAGUUCCGACCCGCACGAAAGGCGUAACGAUUUGGGCACUGUCUCAACGAGAGACUCGGUGAAAUCAUAGUACCUGUGAAGAUGCAGGUUACCCGCGACAGGACGGAAAGACCCCGUGGAGCUUUACUGUAGCCUGAUAUUGAAAUUCGGCACAGCUUGUACAGGAUAGGUAGGAGCCUUUGAAACGUGAGCGCUAGCUUACGUGGAGGCGCUGGUGGGAUACUACCCUAGCUGUGUUGGCUUUCUAACCCGCACCACUUAUCGUGGUGGGAGACAGUGUCAGGCGGGCAGUUUGACUGGGGCGGUCGCCUCCUAAAAGGUAACGGAGGCGCUCAAAGGUUCCCUCAGAAUGGUUGGAAAUCAUUCAUAGAGUGUAAAGGCAUAAGGGAGCUUGACUGCGAGACCUACAAGUCGAGCAGGGUCGAAAGACGGACUUAGUGAUCCGGUGGUUCCGCAUGGAAGGGCCAUCGCUCAACGGAUAAAAGCUACCCCGGGGAUAACAGGCUUAUCUCCCCCAAGAGUUCACAUCGACGGGGAGGUUUGGCACCUCGAUGUCGGCUCAUCGCAUCCUGGGGCUGUAGUCGGUCCCAAGGGUUGGGCUGUUCGCCCAUUAAAGCGGUACGCGAGCUGGGUUCAGAACGUCGUGAGACAGUUCGGUCCCUAUCCGUCGUGGGCGUAGGAAAUUUGAGAGGAGCUGUCCUUAGUACGAGAGGACCGGGAUGGACAUACCUCUGGUGUACCAGUUGUCGUGCCAACGGCAUAGCUGGGUAGCUAUGUGUGGACGGGAUAAGUGCUGAAAGCAUCUAAGCAUGAAGCCCCCCUCAAGAUGAGAUUUCCCAACUUCGGUUAUAAGAUCCCUCAAAGAUGAUGAGGUUAAUAGGUUCGAGGUGGAAGCAUGGUGACAUGUGGAGCUGACGAAUACUAAUCGAUCGAAGACUUAAUCAA
This 2921-nucleotide ribosomal RNA is filed under the name Staphylococcus aureus. Its description in RNAcentral is "bacterial LSU rRNA". It matches the Rfam family "Bacterial large subunit ribosomal RNA". Lineage: Bacteria; Bacillati; Bacillota; Bacilli; Caryophanales; Staphylococcaceae. The record is from RNAcentral.